Molecule: ribosomal RNA, 1400 nt
Filed under: Pedobacter sp.
Lineage: Bacteria; Pseudomonadati; Bacteroidota; Sphingobacteriia; Sphingobacteriales; Sphingobacteriaceae
Description: bacterial SSU rRNA
Source: RNAcentral
AUACUGCAGUCGAACGAUAUUUUCCAGCUUGCUGGAAGAGAAAGUGGCGCACGGGUGCGUAACGCGUAUGCAACCUACCUUUAUCAGGGGGAUAGCCCGGAGAAAUCCGGAUUAAUACCGCAUAAAAUCACAGAAUAGCAUUAUUUAAUGAUCAAACAUUUAUGGGAUAAAGAUGGGCAUGCGUGUCAUUAGCUAGUUGGCGGGGUAACGGCCCACCAAGGCGACGAUGACUAGGGGAUCUGAGAGGAUGACCCCCCACACUGGUACUGAGACACGGACCAGACUCCUACGGGAGGCAGCAGUAAGGAAUAUUGGUCAAUGGAGGCAACUCUGAACCAGCCAUGCCGCGUGCAGGAAGACUGCCCUAUGGGUUGUAAACUGCUUUUAUCCGGGAAUAAACCUCUGCUCGUGAGCAGAGCUGAAUGUACCGGAAGAAUAAGGAUCGGCUAACUCCGUGCCAGCAGCCGCGGUAAUACGGAGGAUCCAAGCGUUAUCCGGAUUUAUUGGGUUUAAAGGGUGCGUAGGCGGCCUGUUAAGUCAGGGGUGAAAGACGGUAGCUCAACUAUCGCAGUGCCCUUGAUACUGAUGGGCUUGAAUGGACUAGAGGUAGGCGGAAUGAGACAAGUAGCGGUGAAAUGCAUAGAUAUGUCUCAGAACACCGAUUGCGAAGGCAGCUUACUAUGGUCUUAUUGACGCUGAGGCACGAAAGCGUGGGGAUCAAACAGGAUUAGAUACCCUGGUAGUCCACGCCCUAAACGAUGAACACUCGCUGUUGGCGAUACACAGUCAGCGGCUAAGCGAAAGCGUUAAGUGUUCCACCUGGGGAGUACGCCCGCAAGGGUGAAACUCAAAGGAAUUGACGGGGGCCCGCACAAGCGGAGGARCAUGUGGUUUAAUUCGAUGAUACGCGAGGAACCUUACCCGGGCUUGAAAGUUAGUGAAUGAUCUAGAGAUAGAUCAGUGAGCAAUCACACGAAACUAGGUGCUGCAUGGCUGUCGUCAGCUCGUGCCGUGAGGUGUUGGGUUAAGUCCCGCAACGAGCGCAACCCCUAUGUUUAGUUGCCAGCAUGUAAAGGUGGGGACUCUAAACAGACUGCCUGUGCAAACAGAGAGGAAGGAGGGGACGACGUCAAGUCAUCAUGGCCCUUACGUCCGGGGCUACACACGUGCUACAAUGGACGGUACAGAGGGCAGCUACAUAGCAAUAUGAUGCGAAUCUCACAAAGCCGUUCACAGUUCGGAUUGGGGUCUGCAACUCGACCCCAUGAAGUUGGAUUCGCUAGUAAUCGCGUAUCAGCAAUGACGCGGUGAAUACGUUCCCGGGCCUUGUACACACCGCCCGUCAAGCCAUGGAAGUUGGGGGUACCUAAAGUAUGUAACCGCAAGGAGCGUCCUAUGUA